Molecule: ribosomal RNA, 497 nt
Filed under: uncultured bacterium
Lineage: Bacteria
Description: partial 16S ribosomal RNA
Rfam family: Bacterial small subunit ribosomal RNA
Source: RNAcentral
GAUGAACGCUGGCGGCGUGCCUAAUACAUGCAAGUCGAGCGAACGGACGAGAAGCUUGCUUUUCUGAUGUUAGCGGCGGACGGGUGAGUAACACGUGGAUAACCUACCUAUAAGACUGGGAUAACUUCGGGAAACCGGAGCUAAUACCGGAUAAUAUUUUGAACCGCAUGGUUCAAAAGUGAAAGACGGUCUUGCUGUCACUUAUAGAUGGAUCCGCGCUGCGUUAGCUAGUUGGUAAGGUAACGGCUUACCAAGGCAACGAUGCAUAGCCGACCUGAGAGGGUGAUCGGCCACACUGGAACUGAGACACGGUCCAGACUCCUACGGGAGGCAGCAGUAGGGAAUCUUCCGCAAUGGGCGAAAGCCUGACGGAGCAACGCCGCGUGAGUGAUGAAGGUCUUCGGAUCGUAAAGCUCUGUUAUUAGGGAAGAACAUAUGUGUAAGUAACUGUGCACAUCUUGACGGUACCUAAUCAGAAAGCCACGGCUAACUACGUG